Molecule: transfer RNA, 127 nt
Filed under: Aureobasidium pullulans
Lineage: Eukaryota; Fungi; Ascomycota; Dothideomycetes; Dothideales; Saccotheciaceae
Also listed under: 1 other name
Description: tRNA-Val
Rfam family: tRNA
About the family: Transfer RNA (tRNA) molecules are approximately 80 nucleotides in length. Their secondary structure includes four short double-helical elements and three loops (D, anti-codon, and T loops). Further hydrogen bonds mediate the characteristic L-shaped molecular structure. tRNAs have two regions of fundamental functional importance: the anti-codon, which is responsible for specific mRNA codon recognition, and the 3' end, to which the tRNAs corresponding amino acid is attached (by aminoacyl-tRNA synthetases). tRNAs cope with the degeneracy of the genetic code in two manners: having more than one tRNA (with a specific anti-codon) for a particular amino acid; and 'wobble' base-pairing, i.e. permitting non-standard base-pairing at the 3rd anti-codon position.
Source: RNAcentral
GCCGCUGUGGCUUAGUGGUAAAGCACCCCCCUUACUGUGAAAACAGGGCCAAGCGUGUAUUAUAGUUAGACUAGAUUAGAUGCUUUGACUAAGGGGAAGAUCCGGGUUUCGAAUACCCGCAGCGGCG